Long non-coding RNA from Etheostoma spectabile (orangethroat darter), 204 nucleotides. RefSeq lists it as uncharacterized. The transcript has 3 exons. NCBI's taxonomy places the organism in Eukaryota, Metazoa, Chordata, Actinopteri, Perciformes, Percidae. The record is from RefSeq and is a predicted model, not a curated record.
AUUCAGAGCAGUGGUCAGUAAUUGUAUAUUUUUAGGCUGUUUAAGCGUUCAGUCGGUCCGUUAUGGUCUGCCACGCUUUCUCUCGCUGUUUCAUUCCAGCUUUAUUAAAAUAAUGUGUUUUAAGUUAUCAUACUUCCACAAGAAGCAACUGCUCACUCUGUAUAAAGUAUGAGCAAUGCAUAUUUUCUCCAUUUUGUGCAUCAG